GAGCCCGAGUCAAGUGAAUUUGGAUCAGUGGUUCGAUUGAACCAGAAGAGAACGGCAUCCUCAAAUAAGCACCCGUGCCCUAAAUGGAGCGGUGAAACUGUCUACUUCUCCACAGCCACUGCAACUGCGGCGUGUUCCUUGGCGAAAGCCGGCAGCGGCGGCGGCGGCAUUUUCCUCCGUCGAGCUCUUAUCGCUGCGGCGUUUUCCUCGGCGAACGGUGGAUGCUGCGGCUUCCUCUCCGUCGGCGAACGGUGACAGCGCGCGGUAUCUCUCUCAUAAUCCUUCUCCUCCUCCUCUUCCUCCUUCGCCGUCGCACAAUCCCUUCUCCUCCCUCUUCCCCCGUUUAUCGCAGCCCACCGCCCCCCGCCUCGUCGCAACCCCAUUUCCCCGAUCCCUCCUUCCCCUCCCCCCUUUUCGCCACAGCUCUCCCGCUUCCCCGACACCAUCCUCCUCCCUCCUACCUCUUUCCCCCGUUCAUCGCAGCCCCCCGCCCCUCUUCCUUGGUCCCUCCCCCCUCCUCCACUUCAUCACAGCCCCCGCCCCCCGACGACCCCGGCAGCCACCUUCACCUUCCUCCGACUCCUCCGACCCCAACAGUCCCCUUCUCCAUUUUCCUACUCCGGCUCCGACAGCCCCCUCUCCAUUAUCCUGCUCCGGCCCCGACAAGCCCCCAUCUCCAUUUUCCUACUCCAGCCCCGACAGCCCUCAUCUCCCUCCUCUACACCCCUCUUCGCCUUCUCUAUACAUCUCAACAGCAACUAUUUUUUUUGAUGAAGUGUUUGGUUCAUCAAACCUCUUAGUUUUCUUAUUAUGUUUACUGCAUUGUAGUUUCCUUUUCAAGCACACCAGAAUAACACAAAACCCCAAAUGAUACAAAGGACUCGACUCACCCUAAAGCACAACUUGAGUAAACAACUAGAUUUUGACUUGAUUUCCAAGCCCUAAAAUCUCAAUGUAUUUGGUUAGGUAUAAACUUACACCUUUAUGUCAGAAUAGUUUGUUCUCUGCCGUAGUGCUGAAAGCAACUAUCUUCGCUACUUGAGGCUUGUUCAUACCUCAAGACACAUAGUCAUGCUUAUAUUUGGAUCGUCAAAUCUUGUAUUCGCUGGUUUUGUUAGUGAUUGAAGGAGAUUUUAAUGCUCUUAAUUUAACUACAGAUAUUUUCUUACACAGAGUUCAAAGAUACAAAAGAUCCAUAUGGAUGAUGAUAAAUAGUUUGGACGUCAUGGCUUUUGUUAUCAUUGUGGUCGUUUGCACUUGUUCGUUUUAUUGGCAUAUUCUAACUGAUCUGAACCAAAUUUAUCAUAGGCUCAGAAAGAUUAUUGAAUAUAAGCUAAAUUGGUUGUAUAUAUAUUUUUUAAAUGUCAUGAGAUUCAAGUUAGAUCGUCUUAGUUCUAUCUAACCUAAACACUAGGUGCUUGGCUCUUGCCUAAUCGCUCGGGUAAGGCGAGGCCUGAGCGCCAUGUCGUGCACAUCACGCGGGCGUUUUCACUCGUGCGACGCUUAGGCAAGCACCUGUUCGGCGUUGGGCAGCCCACUGACACGCCUGAGUGGUGUUGCACCAAAAUUGAACCCCUGUUGGGUCCAUUAAGACAAGCAAUUUGAUCCCUACCCUCGUGUGACUCACCUCCUUUGCAAUGUUUCUUCCCCUCUCCUAUUGGAGAGACCUUGGCAUCCUCAGUUCCUACUCCCUAUCGUGCAUAAGUGCAAUAUCUAGGUUUAACAUCCUGCUCCCUACAUUUUAAAAAAUUACAUUGGCAUCCCUAGAUUUACAAAAGUACAAUAUCUAGGUUUAUUUACUCUAACUUGUCAUUUUUACUAACAAAAAUACGAAAAUAAAAGGCAAAAAGAUAAUUUUAAUAUUUCAUUUUGUGGUGGUCGAUGACGUCGGUGGUUGUGGACGGCGAUGUCAUUAGGACCGUGGGUGGCUGUUGUGGGUAAGGGUGCGACGGCGAGAGGUAAGAGCGGCUUUGCAUCUACAUCGGCGUCGAUGUAGUUGGUAAGCAAGAAAAUAGAUUUGAUGUAAAAUUUUAUUGUUUUUAUUUUUGAGAUCUUUUAUUAAUGUGACAUUGUGAUUUUGUACUUGAUUUUCUUAAUUUUCUUAGCAUAAUUUUUAUUUAAAUAUUAUAUUUAUAAAUUAUAUUAUAUAUUUUUAUAUUUUACCGUCUCGUUUUGCUCGGGAGAGCGCCUAGCGUCUCGGGCAUUUUUGGACCUUGGCGCCUAGCGUUUUGUAAAUCACUGGUGACAAUUAAUUUUCAGCCCUCGGAUAUGAGUUGGUUUAGAACUGAACUAAUAAUAUAAAUUUUAACAAUCCCAAAUGUUCAAUGUUGCAUAUCAUGUAUGUGCAUUUACUUUAAAGAAAUAAGAAGUUGCAGAAUGCAAGUUAAAUACUAUUGUUAAGCUAGACAGCAAAAGUACUGCUUUUAGAUAAGAGCAAAGAGAACUGGGGAAGUCUUAAAAAAAUAAAUCGCUGGGAAAAGAUAGAAAAAGAGAUAGCAGAGCCAGUAAUUGGAUCACUGGCCAAAGAAAACUAUAAUUAUUUGUUAAUAGAAUCAUGCACUAGUCUGACUAUUCCUCAUGUGAAGCAUUAUAAUUCAAAAUACAUCUAAGUAGUACCAAUCUGACCAAGUUUCCUAAAAGAAGCUCUCUCAACAGCAACUGCUUAUUUUGAUGAAGUGUUUGGUUCAUCAAACCUCUUAGUUUUCUUAUAAUGUCUACUGCAUUGUGUUUACAGGCCACACAAGAAAAUUUCAACACAAAACCCCAAAUGCUCCAAUGGACCUGACUCACACUAAGGUACAAGUUGAGUAAACAACUAGAAUUUG
Molecule: long non-coding RNA, 2825 nt
Filed under: Musa acuminata (dwarf banana)
Lineage: Eukaryota; Viridiplantae; Streptophyta; Magnoliopsida; Zingiberales; Musaceae
Description: long non-coding RNA (MACU_LNC011861)
Source: RNAcentral